RNAcentral lists this long non-coding RNA (495 nucleotides) under Hordeum vulgare. RNAcentral describes it as "long non-coding RNA (HVUL_LNC006263)". Lineage: Eukaryota; Viridiplantae; Streptophyta; Magnoliopsida; Poales; Poaceae. The record is from RNAcentral.
UUAUAGUGCCAAAAAUCACCUCGUGACCACAGUCAAAAUUCAACAAAAACAACGUUGUAGUGGUAUGCUGCAUCACAGACAACAGAAACUUAAUUCAGUUUUCAGACACUGCAAGCAUACAAGGGACGGAACCUUACGCAGAACCGAGUUAACUCUGGAAUGUAUUCCACUCACACACAAUCAGCUACGCUCUAACAGCAAUUUGUCCAACAAAAAGUAACGACAGAAUCACAGAUAAGGGAUUCCAUGGCCUCUCAAGCUUCAGAGAAGGGGAGCACCAAAUGCACCUUGAUCCACCAUGCUGAACACAGAAUCACUGAGGCCGCUCACUGUCAGUGAAGAACAGAAACAGCAGCAGAAAAUUGCACGUCAGAACACAUAAGCCUGCAUGACAAAGAUGCAUCAGAAUUUUGAGAAGUAGGCAAUUUACCUUGUCCUGGCCCUCUCCGGACGGAGCGGCCUCGCUACUCUGACCGACGAUGUAGAACAGCACNN